RNAcentral lists this ribosomal RNA (253 nucleotides) under uncultured bacterium. RNAcentral's name for it is "partial 16S ribosomal RNA". It matches the Rfam family "Bacterial small subunit ribosomal RNA", at positions 524 to 776 of the family's 1533-position model. The record is from RNAcentral.
GACAGAGGUCUCAAGCGUUGUUCGGAUUCAUUGGGCGUAAAGGGUGCGUAGGUGGCAUGGUAAGUCGGAUGUGAAAUCCCGGGGCUCAACCCCGGAACUGCAUUCGAUACUGCUGCGCUAGAGUACUGGAGAGGAGAUUGGAAUUUACGGUGUAGCAGUGAAAUGCGUAGAUAUCGUAAGGAAGACCAGUGGCGAAGGCGGAUCUCUGGACAGUUACUGACACUGAGGCACGAAGGCCAGGGGAGCAAACGGG